Molecule: ribosomal RNA, 398 nt
Filed under: uncultured bacterium
Lineage: Bacteria
Description: partial 16S ribosomal RNA
Rfam family: Bacterial small subunit ribosomal RNA
Source: RNAcentral
AUACGUAGGGUGCGAGCGUUGUCCGGAAUUACUGGGCGUAAAGAGCUCGUAGGUGGUUUGUCGCGUCGUCUGUGAAAUUCCGGGGCUUAACUCCGGGCGUGCAGGCGAUACGGGCAUAACUUGAGUACUGUAGGGGAGACUGGAAUUCCUGGUGUAGCGGUGAAAUGCGCAGAUAUCAGGAGGAACACCGGUGGCGAAGGCGGGUCGAUGGGCAGUAACUGACGCUGAGGAGCGAAAGCAUGGGUAGCGAACAGGAUUAGAUACCCUGGUAGUCCAUGCCGUAAACGGUGGGCGCUAGGUGUAGGGGUCUUCCACGACUUCUGUGCCGUAGCUAACGCAUUAAGCGCCCCGCCUGGGGAGUACGGCCGCAAGGCUAAAACUCAAAGGAAUUGACGGGG